This 301-nucleotide ribosomal RNA is filed under the name uncultured bacterium. RNAcentral's name for it is "partial 16S ribosomal RNA". It matches the Rfam family "Bacterial small subunit ribosomal RNA", at positions 509 to 807 of the family's 1533-position model. The record is from RNAcentral.
CAGUCGCCGCGGGAAAACGGAGGGUGCAAGCGUUAAUCGGAAUUACUGGACGUAAGGCGUGCGUAGGCGGUUCGUUAAGUCUGUUGUGAAAGCCCCGGGCUCAACCUGGGAAUGGCAAUGGAUACUGGCGAGCUAGAGUGUGUCAGAGGAUGGUGGAAUUCCCGGUGUAGCGGUGAAAUGCGUAGAGAUCGGGAGGAACAUCAGUGGCGAAGGCGGCCAUCUGGGACAACACUGACGCUGAGGCACGAAAGCGUGGGGAGCAAACAGGAUUAGAUACCCCCGUAGUCCCUGUCUCUUAUAC